This 67-nucleotide transfer RNA is filed under the name Marmota monax (woodchuck). RNAcentral's name for it is "tRNA.Ala". It matches the Rfam family "tRNA". Rfam says of the family: Transfer RNA (tRNA) molecules are approximately 80 nucleotides in length. Their secondary structure includes four short double-helical elements and three loops (D, anti-codon, and T loops). Lineage: Eukaryota; Metazoa; Chordata; Mammalia; Rodentia; Sciuridae. The record is from RNAcentral.
GGUUGUAGCUCAGUGAUAAAGCACUUGCCUCGCAUGCAUGAGGCCCUGGGUUUGAUCCUCAGCACCA